GUGGUCACUUGAUAUGCCACCUCAUUUAAUAAGGGAGAUCAAGUGGUCCACGUUUUUUUUUAUUUUCAGAAUUUCCUUUUAUUUGUUUUAUUUUCAUAAAUUCAUACUAAUUUUAAUAUUGAUCCAAAAAAUAUGAGUGUUUCACCAAAAAAAUUUAAAUAAAUUCCUCUUUCAUUUUCUGAAUUAAAAUUAUUUUUCGAUAUUAUUAAUAUUUUUCAUGAUUUAAUUGAUUUUGUCAAUAUUUG
This 245-nucleotide long non-coding RNA is filed under the name Lathyrus oleraceus (garden pea). RNAcentral describes it as "Pisum sativum (pea) long non-coding RNA (PSAT_LNC024976)". Lineage: Eukaryota; Viridiplantae; Streptophyta; Magnoliopsida; Fabales; Fabaceae. The record is from RNAcentral.